CAGGCGAGCGAUGUAGGGAUCUUAGAAGGCAGCCCUUCCUUCGAUCGCGCAGAUACGCAACCUUCCUACGAUCGCGACUUUCCCCAUCGAUGUGUACCCCGUUUUCCCCUUCAAAAUUCAGAUCGCUCUUCCUGUUUCUCUUGCCAGCGGCUGUCACCGAAUCGAUUUGUUGCUCUCAGGACGAGGUGAUUCCCUAUUCUGGGCCCCUGAUCAUCGGAAUCCAAUACACAUAGUCGAGCACCUCCGCCAAGCCUGAUGCCAAUUCAUAUUGUAUCAUCAUCGAGUGCUGGUCGUCCGAUUACCGACGCCCAUUCAACCGAUCCCAGGUAAAAAAUAUGCUCAAAACUCGUAGGCGACUAAUAAAACCAGACAAUGGAAGUACCGUGUUGAGCACGCAGUGCCAGAAUUAUGAGGACUCGUCCUGAUCGCACACUUGUGGAUUUCACAAGAGGAUCACCUACACGCCAGGGUACAAAUCAUGUUACGGCAGCAGGUAUACAAGCCAUGCUGAUUUUGUCGCAUGGGAACGAGAAAAGAGCGGGAUUUUUACAAUGAGAAGUGCCUACACCCUCGCAACAUGUGAUCAUGUCGCUGGUGUUAGCGGCGGGGCUUGCAGUGCAUCCCGGGUGGGCGACGUAGCUUGUGGAAUUGCGUCUGGAAGUCCUCGGUCCCUCAAAAAAUGAAGAUUACAAUGUGAAAAGCUGCUACUGGAGCCCUUCCAACACAGAGUUGCAAGAUGCUCAGGCAUCUGGCGACCAGAUCAACAUGCCCAGUAUGUGGCCGAGAGGAGGAAGGUUUAUACCAUGCCCUGGUGGCGUGCUCUCAUGCUAGAAUGGUGUGGACCAGUAUGAGGGAGAGAUGGCCUCUCCCAGAUGACAAGUUGCUGGUGGAUAAUGGCAAGGAGUGGAUCCUACAUCUAUUAUCGAGUUGUUCUGAUGCUGUUCGUGACAUGAUUAUUAUGUUAUGCUGGCGUAUCUGGCAGCGAAGGAACGACCUCACUCAUGGCAUGGAAACCCCUCCAGUUCAUGUGACGGUCGAAUUUUUGGAUAGCUACUACAGAUCGGUGUGCCUGGCAGGCCGGUAUACUACAGAGGAAAUUCUCAAGGGGAAGAUGUCAUCUUCGGCUCUCCCAAGCAAGGCAGUGAAGACGGCGCUAGUAGCAGCGCCAUGGCCCAAACCACCACAAGGCCGGGUAGCACUCUCGGUUGAUGGUUCUUUUAGUGGUACCGACGGAUCAGCGGCAGCAGGUAUGGUAUUACAUGAUCAACAAUGGUCAUAUUAUCUUCUCGGCGUACCGCGUGAUCUUCUAUUGCAAUGACCCUUUGGAAGCUGAACUACAUGCGAUCAUGCAAGGGACGGCAUUGGCUAUCCAACAUUCCUCGCUCCCGGUUAUUGUACAGUCAGACACAUCGGAGGCGCUCUCGUCUUUACGGAAUCAGGGUCUUGAGCGCUCUGCUUAUGGUCAUAUAGUUAGAGAGAUCAAAGAGUUGUUAGUCAGUAGGGAGUUUUAUCCUCAGAGAAUUCAACGUGGCCAAAACAGUGUUGCAGAUCGUUUGGCCAAUUAUAGCCGCACCGAGAGCACAACUGCGGUGUGGUUGACCUCG
Triticum aestivum (bread wheat) is the source of this 1604-nucleotide long non-coding RNA. RefSeq lists it as uncharacterized. The transcript is spliced from 3 exons. The record is from RefSeq and is a predicted model, not a curated record. NCBI's taxonomy places the organism in Eukaryota, Viridiplantae, Streptophyta, Magnoliopsida, Poales, Poaceae.